This 440-nucleotide ribosomal RNA is filed under the name uncultured bacterium. RNAcentral's name for it is "partial 16S ribosomal RNA". It matches the Rfam family "Bacterial small subunit ribosomal RNA", at positions 338 to 795 of the family's 1533-position model. The record is from RNAcentral.
CCUACGGGAGGCUGCAGUGGGGAAUAUUGCACAAUGGGGGAAACCCUGAUGCAGCGACGCCGCGUGAGCGAAGAAGUAUUUCGGUAUGUAAAGCUCUAUCAGCAGGGAAGAAAAUGACGGUACCUGAGUAAGAAGCUCCGGCUAAAUACGUGCCAGCAGCCGCGGUAAUACGUAUGGAGCAAGCGUUAUCCGGAUUUACUGGGUGUAAAGGGAGCGCAGGCGGCCUUGCAAGUCUGAUGGGAAAUACCGGGGCGCAACCCCGGAGCUGCAUUGGAAACUGUGAGGCUGGAGGGUCGGAGAGGCAGGCAGAAUUCCUAGUGUAGCGGUGAAAUGCGUAGAUAUUAGGAGGAACACCAGUGGCGAAGGCGGCCUGCUGGACGAUGACUGACGCGGAGGCUCGAAAGCGUGGGGAGCAAACAGGAUUAGAUACCCUAGUAGUC